RNAcentral lists this transfer RNA (75 nucleotides) under Actinomadura parmotrematis. RNAcentral describes it as "Actinomadura sp. PM05-2 tRNA-Leu". It matches the Rfam family "tRNA". Rfam says of the family: Transfer RNA (tRNA) molecules are approximately 80 nucleotides in length. Their secondary structure includes four short double-helical elements and three loops (D, anti-codon, and T loops). Lineage: Bacteria; Bacillati; Actinomycetota; Actinomycetes; Streptosporangiales; Thermomonosporaceae. The record is from RNAcentral.
GCCCCUGUGGCCCAAUGGUAGAGGCGGGCUCCCUAAAAGAGCUUCAUCGUGUCGGUUCGAGUCCGACCAGGGGUA